AGUGAACGCUGGCGGCAGGCCUAACACAUGCAAGUCGAGCGGGCAGCGGGUUCCCGCGAGGGGAUGCCGCGAGCGGCGGACGGGUGAGGAACACAUCGGAAUCUGUCCUGGGUUGUGGGGGAUAACGUAGGGAAACUUACGCUAAUACCGCAUGAGACCCUGAGUCGACGGACUGGGGGUGAAAGUGAGGGACCUUCGGGCCUCACGGACGACCAGAUGAGCCGAUGUCGGAUUAGCGUAGUUGGCGGGGUAACCGGCCCGCCAAGGCGACGAUCCGUAGCUGGUCUGAGAGGAUGAUCAGCCACACUGGGACUGAGACACGGCCCAGACUCCUACGGGAGGCAGCAGUGGGGAA
This 355-nucleotide ribosomal RNA is filed under the name uncultured bacterium. Its description in RNAcentral is "bacterial SSU rRNA". It matches the Rfam family "Bacterial small subunit ribosomal RNA", at positions 30 to 361 of the family's 1533-position model. The record is from RNAcentral.